GACGAACGCUGGCGGCGUGCUUAACACAUGCAAGUCGAGCGAGGCCCCGCCUUAGGGAGGGUGGCCUAGCGGCGAACGGGUGAGUAACACGUGGGCAACCGGCCCUCAGCUCUGGGAUAACUCCGGGAAACCGGGGCUACUACCGGAUACGACCUCCACGGUGAUCUGCGGAGGUGGAAAGUUUUUCGGCUGAGGAUGGGCCCGCGGCCUAUCAGCUAGUUGGGGGGGUAGUGGCCCACCAAGGCGACGACGGGUAGCCGGCCUGAGAGGGGGACCGGCCCCCCUGGGACUGAGACAGGGACCAGAGUCGUACGGGAGGCAGCAGUGGCGAAUAUUGCGCAAUGGGGCCAAGCCUGACGCAGCGACGCCGCGUGAGGGAAGAAGGCCUUCGGGUUGUAAACCUCUUUCAGCAGGGACGAAGCGAAAGUGACGGUACCUGCAGAAGAAGCACCGGCCAACUACGUG
This 465-nucleotide ribosomal RNA is filed under the name uncultured bacterium. Its description in RNAcentral is "partial 16S ribosomal RNA". It matches the Rfam family "Bacterial small subunit ribosomal RNA", at positions 28 to 507 of the family's 1533-position model. The record is from RNAcentral.